Molecule: ribosomal RNA, 253 nt
Filed under: uncultured bacterium
Lineage: Bacteria
Description: partial 16S ribosomal RNA
Rfam family: Bacterial small subunit ribosomal RNA
Source: RNAcentral
UACGUAGGGUGCGAGCGUUGUCCGGAUUUAUUGGGCGUAAAGAGCUCGUAGGCGGCUCGUCGCGUCGACCGUGAAAACCCGCGGCUUAACCGCGGGCUUGCGGUUGAUACGGGCGGGCUAGAGUUCGGUAGGGGAGACUGGAAUUCCUGGUGUAGCGGUGAAAUGCGCAGAUAUCAGGAGGAACACCGGUGGCGAAGGCGGGUCUCUGGGCCGAUACUGACGCUGAGGAGCGAAAGCGUGGGGAGCGAACAGG